Molecule: unclassified non-coding RNA, 23 nt
Filed under: Mus musculus (house mouse)
Lineage: Eukaryota; Metazoa; Chordata; Mammalia; Rodentia; Muridae
Description: oocyte_clustered_small_RNA5872
Source: RNAcentral
AGAAGCAUUUGGGGAGCCUGUGU